Molecule: ribosomal RNA, 505 nt
Filed under: uncultured bacterium
Lineage: Bacteria
Description: partial 16S ribosomal RNA
Rfam family: Bacterial small subunit ribosomal RNA
Source: RNAcentral
GACGAACGCUGGCGGCGUGCCUAAUACAUGCAAGUAGAACGCACAGUUUAUACCGUAGCUUGCUGCACCAUAGACUGUGAGUUGCGAACGGGUGAGUAACGCGUACGUAACCUGCCUGGUAGCGGGGGAUAACUAUUUGAAACGAUAGCUAAUACCGCAUAAUAUUAAUUAUUGCAUACUAAUUGAGUGAAAGGUGCAAUUGCACCACUACCAGAUGGGCCUGCGUUGUAUUAGCUAGUAGGUGAGGUAACGGCUCACCUAGGCGAAGAUACAUAGCCGACCUGAGAGGGUGAUCGGCCAAACUGGGACUGAGACACGGGCCAGAAUCCUACGGGAGGCAGCAGUAGGGAAUCUUCGGACAUGGACGAAAGUCUGAACGAGCAACGCCGCGUGAGAGAAGAAGGUUCUCGGAUCGGAAAGCUCUGUUGUAAGAGAAGAACGGGUGUGAGAGUGGAAAGUUCACGCUGUGACGGUACCUUAACAGAAAGGGACGGCUAACUACGUG